This 224-nucleotide long non-coding RNA is filed under the name Zea mays. Its description in RNAcentral is "long non-coding RNA NONZMAT002840". The record is from RNAcentral. Lineage: Eukaryota; Viridiplantae; Streptophyta; Magnoliopsida; Poales; Poaceae.
CCGUCUCGCUCGCUCAGCCGCUGCCGUCGAGUCUCCCAGCGUGUGCAGCCCCACCUCCACGUUGGCUCGUCGUUGAUCGCCCUCGCCAGUGUGAGUCGCCGAUCCGAGCUCGCUUGCAAAGCACCGCGCGCUAGAGCAAGCUGUGUCUUGAGCCUCGCCUCGCCGUUCGCCAUCUUCGCAAGGUGAGAAUCCUGCGUCUACCCCUACGCUAAUUAAUUUCCUAC